GGUUGACCUCGGAUCAGGUAGGGAUACCCGCUGAACUUAAGCAUAUCAAUAAGCGGAGGAAAAGAAACCAACAGGGAUUGCCUUAGUAACGGCGAGUGAAGCGGCAACAGCUCAAAUUUGAAAGCUGGCCCUUUUAGGGUCCGCAUUGUAAUUUGUAGAGGAUGAUUCGGCGAGGGCUCCUGCCUAAGUCCCCUGGAACGGGGCGUCAUAGAGGGUGAGAAUCCCGUAUGCGGUAGGUUGCCUUAGCCAUGUGAAUCUCCUUCGACGAGUCGAGUUGUUUGGGAAUGCAGCUCUAAAUGGGAGGUAAAUUUCUUCUAAAGCUAAAUACCGGCCAGAGACCGAUAGCGCACAAGUAGAGUGAUCGAAAGAUGAAAAGCACUUUGGAAAGAGAGUUAAAAAGUACGUGAAAUUGUUGAAAGGGAAGCGCUUGCAACCAGACUUGUCCGCAGUUGCUCAGCCGGUCUCCUGACCGGCGUACUCUUCUGCGGCCAGGCCAGCAUCAGUUCGGGCGGUCGGAUAAAGGCCUCGGGAAUGUGGCUCCUCUCGGGGAGUGUUAUAGCCCGGGGUGCAAUGCGGCCAGCCUGGACUGAGGAACUCGCUUCGGCAAGGAUGCUGGCGUAAUGGUUGUAAGCGGCCCGUCUUGAAACACGGACCAAGGAGUCUAACAUCUAUGCGAGUGUUCGGGUGUCAAACCCGUACGCGUAAUGAAAGUGAACGGAGGUGGGAACCCGCAAGGGUGCACCAUCGGCCGAUCCUGAUGUCUUCGGAUGGAUUUGAGCAAGAGCAUAGCUGUUGGGACCCGAAAGAUGGUGAACUAUGCCUGAAUAGGGUGAAGCCAGAGGAAACUCUGGUGGAGGCUCGCAGCGGUUCUGACGUGCAAAUCGAUCGUCAAAUUUGGGUAUAGGGGCGAAAGACUAAUCGAACCAUCUAGUAGCUGGUUCCUGCCG
RNAcentral lists this ribosomal RNA (947 nucleotides) under Lasiodiplodia laeliocattleyae. RNAcentral's name for it is "eukaryotic LSU rRNA". It matches the Rfam family "Eukaryotic large subunit ribosomal RNA", at positions 1 to 963 of the family's 3401-position model. Lineage: Eukaryota; Fungi; Ascomycota; Dothideomycetes; Botryosphaeriales; Botryosphaeriaceae. The record is from RNAcentral.